RNAcentral lists this RNase P RNA (403 nucleotides) under Sphingomonas sp. 28-63-12. RNAcentral's name for it is "RNase P RNA component class A". It matches the Rfam family "Bacterial RNase P class A". From Rfam's summary of the family: Ribonuclease P (RNase P) is a ubiquitous endoribonuclease, found in archaea, bacteria and eukarya as well as chloroplasts and mitochondria. Its best characterised activity is the generation of mature 5'-ends of tRNAs by cleaving the 5'-leader elements of precursor-tRNAs. Lineage: Bacteria; Pseudomonadati; Pseudomonadota; Alphaproteobacteria; Sphingomonadales; Sphingomonadaceae. The record is from RNAcentral.
CCAGAGGGUCGGGCGGCCGCGGGUGCGCAAGCACGCGAGGAAAGUCCGGGCUCCACGGAAACGACGGUGCCGGAUAACGUCCGGCGAUCCCGGCGCAGGCCGGGGUCAGGGAAAGUGCCACAGAGAGCAGACCGCCGAUGCUCGCCUUUGGGUGAGACAGGUAAGGGUGAAAGGGUGCGGUAAGAGCGCACCGCGCAACUGGUAACAGAAGCGGCAUGGCAAACCCCACCGGGAGCAAGACCGAAUAGGGGUGGCAUGGGGCUUCGUGCCCCGGGGCACGUUCCGGCUCGCCACCCGGGUUGGUUGCUUGAGCCCCGAAGCAAUUCGGGGCCUAGAGGAAUGGUCGCCUAUCCCCGCCGCAGGGCGGGGUGAACAGAACCCGGCUUAUAGACCCUCUGGCAUU